Molecule: long non-coding RNA, 1445 nt
Organism: Aphis gossypii (cotton aphid)
Lineage: Eukaryota; Metazoa; Arthropoda; Insecta; Hemiptera; Aphididae
Exons: 4
Source: RefSeq, a predicted model, not a curated record
AAUAUUAAUAUAUUACACUCUCGCGGCGACGGAGUUGCGAAACGACUUUAUACGACCCGACCGUGUGUUUAACGUUACGCAAUUAUUGUUGUUUUAUAUUUUCUGUGCUUCGCGUAUAUAUAUUAUUUUUACACUGCAGUUUAGUAAUAUUUCGGUAUCGUCAUCCACCACCGCAGUCGCAGUCGAACGCGCUUAUGAGGCUAUCAAUGCAGGUGGAAAGUGCGUGUGUGUGUUGGAGGAAGAGGGGCAAAGGCGUGUGCAUAUGGUGGUUUGAAAAGGAUUUAUUGCACACUCGUGUGCGAGUGCACUCGACUCGAAAAUUGCACGCACCGAUGAUCUCAGAAACAUUGCGGGGAGGUGGCGUGUAAAUCGAGAAGACGCGAGUUGAUAACCGCGGACGAAUAAUAAUUAAGUAUCUCUUCGCGAAUUAUUUUAGCGUAGAUACAUAAUAUCAAACUGCGUUCUCGACGUUCUCGAUCGACCAGCGUAUUAUAUUAUAUUUUCUGUAGAAGUGGAUCGUCAUACCUGUGAUCAUCAAUCAAAUCAUUUUAAUUUGUAUGCGCCGCCAGACUACGUCGUAACGGUUUACACAUUGUGCGUAAAUGGAAAAUCUGCAGAUCUGUAGGUACUGAUUCGACUGAAUUCCGUUAUGUAAAGUAGCCGAAGGUCUUCGCGAAGUCGACAAUGACGAUGUUAUGCGAUUGCUGACGCUGACACAGUCACGUAUACCUACGUGCAUAGAUACUUUAAUAUAUUAUAAAUGUGUAUUCAACAAGGACGAUAGGUGUUGAUUUAUAAUAUUAUACUCACGUAAAAAUAUAUACUCGUGUAUAUUUAGGUAUACAACGUUUACAACAUGCAAUAAUAAUAGUGGCGAAACGGACAUACAAUAUUUUUUGUGAAAUGAAUUUAGUCAGCUGCAUACCAUUGAUUUAUUUUGUUAAGAAUGAUCCUGGUCAAUUUAAAAAACUGUAGAACCAUAAUCAACACUAAUAUUAUAUACAAUGAAGUAUAAAUAAAAUUAUGAUAUUGACAACUGUCAAGAGAUGAUCACUUACAGUGUGGAUUGAAGUCAUUCCGUCCACGCGUAAAUCGAUUCAUACAACAAUACAACAUAGCUUAUUAUUAUCACUAUACUUACUUACAAAAGUGUAAGUUGUUAAUUCAUUAAAUUUCUAUUGUGAAUUAAAAUUAUACAGGUAAAUUAAUAAAUGUUAUAAAUAAUAAUUAUGGAAUGCUUUAUAUCAUAUAAUAAAACGUAUAAAUAAUAUACAUGUUUUACCACAAAAUUAAAUUUAAAAAGUCUUAUCAUCAUAUUGUUAUAUAUAAUAAUGUAUAAAUACCGAUUGUAUUUGUGAUCGUUUAUUGUAAUAUGUGAGUCUAUAUUUGAGGCUUGUAGAACUAGGUGUAAUAUCUCCGUCUUACAAACUAUAAAAUAAACUUAU